Mugil cephalus (flathead mullet) is the source of this 696-nucleotide long non-coding RNA. RefSeq lists it as uncharacterized. Lineage: Eukaryota; Metazoa; Chordata; Actinopteri; Mugiliformes; Mugilidae. The transcript has 3 exons. The record is from RefSeq and is a predicted model, not a curated record.
AUCCAAGACCUCCUGGACAUCUUCAUCGGUCCAGCAGGAUGGGACACCAUGAACGUUCCGUUGCUCGAUGCUCUCUGCAUCCAGGACAUCUGGAAGACACAGAGGUGCCACCUCAGCUGCAUACAGGACCCGCCGGGUGUGCAGCUGUGCUGAGUGGGGUCAGCCUGCCGGUUUACCGCUGUGUCAGGGGUUCCACGUCGUUCAGGUCCUUCCACCUCUACCUCAACUGGUUCAUCCCAGGGACGCGUGCCAGCAACAUGCACUUCCUGGCGUUCCUGGUUGAUGGACUAGUCAGGUGGAAUGAGGACCAAGCAGCAGCAGCUUAGGAACAAAAGGUGUCUCUCCGCUCCUACUGUGGCCACCUCAAGCACAUCCUUAAUCAGAAGAGUCAACGGGUGCUUAGCCUUGACAGGUUUAAGGACUUCACUCAGCCUGCUCUGUACACGGAGGAGCUCAUCUGGGUGGAGUGCCUGUACCAGAAGACUGGGAGAGUGCUUGAGAAUGUCAACUUGAUUCCUAACACUCCGGACAAGACUACUGCCAUUGAGGAGCUCGAGGAAGUAGACGAGGGUAUCGAGAAGGAUGUGGAGGACGCCACAGUCUAUGGGCCAGAUACCCUCUCCACUGGAUCAAAGGCAGCAGCUCGGUCAGGUGAUGUCAGCUGACACACCCAGAGCAAGUCUCCUACCCACCACG